Molecule: ribosomal RNA, 591 nt
Filed under: Bipolaris sp. 1-1-3
Lineage: Eukaryota; Fungi; Ascomycota; Dothideomycetes; Pleosporales; Pleosporaceae
Description: eukaryotic LSU rRNA
Rfam family: 5.8S ribosomal RNA (bases 206-359)
Source: RNAcentral
UCCGUAGGUGAACCUGCGGAGGGAUCAUUACACAACGAAAAUAUGAAGGCUUUGGCUUCGCGGCCGGCUGAAAUAUUUUUUUCACCCAUGUCUUUUGCGCACUUGUCGUUUCCUGGGCGGGUUCGCCCGCCACCAGGACCAAACCAUAAACCUUUUUUUUAAUGCAGUUGCAAUCAGCGUCAGUAAAAAAUAAUGUAAUUAUUACAACUUUCAACAACGGAUCUCUUGGUUCUGGCAUCGAUGAAGAACGCAGCGAAAUGCGAUACGUAGUGUGAAUUGCAGAAUUCAGUGAAUCAUCGAAUCUUUGAACGCACAUUGCGCCCUUUGGUAUUCCAAAGGGCAUGCCUGUUCGAGCGUCAUUUGUACCUUCAAGCUUUGCUUGGUGUUGGGCGUUUUUUGUCUCCCUCUUGCUGGGAGACUCGCCUUAAAACGAUUGGCAGCCGGCCUACUGGUUUCGGAGCGCAGCACAUAUUUUGCACUCUGUGUCAGGAGAAAAGGACGGUAAUCCAUCAAGACUCUACAAAUUUUAACUUUUGACCUCGGAUCAGGUAGGGAUACCCGCUGAACUUAAGCAUAUCAAUAAGCGGAGGA